ACGGAAGGCAGCAGUGAGGAAUAUUGGUCAAUGGGCGGAAGCCUGAACCAGCCAAGUCGCGUGAAGGAUGAAGGUAUUAUGUAUUGUAAACUUCUUUAGCAGCAGAGAAAUAAGAGGGUCGUGACCCUUGAUGCUAGUAUGCUGAGAAUAAGCAUCGGCUAACUCCGUGCCAGCAGCCGCGGUAAUACGGAGGAUGCGAGCGUUAUCCGGAUUUAUUGGGUUUAAAGGGUGCGCAGGCGGUCUUUUAAGUCAGUGGUCAAAUCGUGGUGCUCAACGCCAUCCCGCCAUUGAUACUGGGAGACUUGAGUGCGGUAGAGGUAGGCGGAAUUCGUAGUGUAGCGGUGAAAUGCGUAGAUAUGACGAAGAACACCGAUUGCGUAGGCAGCUUACCAAGCCGUAAAUGACGCUCAUGCACGAAAGUGCGGGGAUCGAACAGGAUUAGAUACCCUGGUA
Molecule: ribosomal RNA, 453 nt
Filed under: uncultured Porphyromonadaceae bacterium
Lineage: Bacteria; Pseudomonadati; Bacteroidota; Bacteroidia; Bacteroidales; Porphyromonadaceae
Description: partial 16S ribosomal RNA
Rfam family: Bacterial small subunit ribosomal RNA
Source: RNAcentral